Nematolebias whitei (Rio pearlfish) is the source of this 256-nucleotide long non-coding RNA. RefSeq lists it as uncharacterized. The transcript has 3 exons. Lineage: Eukaryota; Metazoa; Chordata; Actinopteri; Cyprinodontiformes; Rivulidae. The record is from RefSeq and is a predicted model, not a curated record.
GGAUCCUGCUGUCAUUUCUGCUGCUGUAGAAGCAAAGAUACAACAUUUUCUGGUGGAGCUUCAGCUUAAGCAGCAGCACCUUCUCUCUCAGAUGAACGAGAGACACGAGCUGAACAUGCAGGUUAUGAGAGCCAAGCUUGAGGCAGUGGAGUCAGACAUUCGGCACCAUCUGGAGCAGGAGGUUUCUGGGCUGGACAAACAGAUAGCAGAAUACCAGACAGACAGCCGCUUGGCUGCUGCAGGUCUCAACCUCAAA